CCUCAGCAGUAUGAUGACCCUCGUAAUAAUCGUAAGCCAUAUCGUCCCACAAAACCUCAAAAGUAUGAUGACCCUCGUAUUAAUCGUAAGCCAUAUCGUCCCAAAAAACCUCAAAAGUAUGAUGACCCUCGUAUUAAUCGUAAGCCAUAUCGCCCCAAAAAAUUCAAACCUCGCUUCAAUCAAAACUCCAAUUCCAAUAAUGUAAAAAAUCCUUUAGUUUAUCCACAAACUGGAAUUUCCGUACAACAGAGUCCGCAUCAACAAUAUGGAUUGGUGGAUCACGGUACGCCAGUGUCGCCAGAUGACUAUGGAGCACUGUGGUGGUUGCCCGAUUAAAAACGUAAGUAAAAAAAAAGAAAAGAAAGGAAACCAUGAAACAGUAGGACUAGGGCCCUGUGCUGGGAGGUUUUCUGGCCACGUCUUUCCCUCAGCGUUACAGAUUCCGAUGUGGUAGUAGUUUUACAGCUAGUUACAUAAUAAUGUAAUUUAAUUUUUUAACGUUCAAAAAGCGCUAUCUUUGUAAGCCAAUUUUGAAAAAUACUUAGAUAUUUUUGAAGUUUUUUUUUGUUUUGACGUGACUUAUUGUAGAUUUGCCGCAGAUGGCAUUAACUACUUGGCCGGACAAAUGGGGAGCGCUGAAAGCUCUCACCCGGUACAACGUGUAAAAUUUUUGAAGUGAA
This is a long non-coding RNA of Pectinophora gossypiella (pink bollworm), 680 nucleotides long. RefSeq lists it as uncharacterized. NCBI's taxonomy places the organism in Eukaryota, Metazoa, Arthropoda, Insecta, Lepidoptera, Gelechiidae. The transcript has 4 exons. The record is from RefSeq and is a predicted model, not a curated record.